Molecule: ribosomal RNA, 510 nt
Filed under: uncultured bacterium
Lineage: Bacteria
Description: bacterial SSU rRNA
Rfam family: Bacterial small subunit ribosomal RNA
Source: RNAcentral
GAUCCUGGCUCAGGAUGAACGCUAGCGACAGGCCUAACACAUGCAAGUCGAGGGGCAGCACGAAGGAAGCUUGCUUCUUGGUGGCGACCGGCGCACGGGUGCGUAACAGGUGUGCAAUCUGUCCAUAGUCGGGGGAUAGCCCAGCGAAAGCUGAAUUAAUACUCCAUGUGAAUUGAAGCCGCAUGACUUUGAUUUGAAACGCAAGGACUAUGGGUGAGCACGCUUCUGAUUAGGUAGUUGGUGGGUAACGGCCCACCAAGCCGACGAUCAGUAGGGGUUCUGAGAGGAAGGUCCCCCACAUUGGAACUGAGACACGGUCCAAACUCCUACGGGAGGCAGCAGUGAGGAAUAUUGGUCAAUGGGCGAGAGCCUGAACCAGCCAAGUCGCGUGAAAAGGAUGAAGGUUCUAUGGAUUGUAAACUUCUUUUGUCCGAGGGUAAAAAAGGUCACGUGUGACCUCUUGCAAGUAUCGGACGAAUAAGCAUCGGCUAACUCCGUGCCAGCAGCUGC